CAGCAGACACAUUCCAGCCAAUCAGCAGCAGACCCUCCCUCCCACCUCCUGGACAGCAUCCAUUUUACAUUCAUUGUGAAGCUGCAUUCUUAGUGAGCUGUCCAGGAGAUGGGAGGGUCUGGGAGGGAGGGUCUGCUGCUGAUUGGCUGGAAUGUGUCUGCUG
This 163-nucleotide microRNA precursor is filed under the name Pelobates cultripes (western spadefoot toad). The record is from RNAcentral. Lineage: Eukaryota; Metazoa; Chordata; Amphibia; Anura; Pelobatidae.